This 180-nucleotide ribosomal RNA is filed under the name uncultured bacterium. RNAcentral describes it as "partial 16S ribosomal RNA". It matches the Rfam family "Bacterial small subunit ribosomal RNA", at positions 338 to 514 of the family's 1533-position model. The record is from RNAcentral.
CCUACGGGAGGCAGCAGUGAGGAAUAUUGGUCAAUGGGCGGAAGCCUGAACCAGCCAAGUAGCGUGAAGGAUGACUGCCCUAUGGGUUGUAAACUUCUUUUAUGCGGGGAUAAAGUUCGCCACGUGUGGCGUUUUUGCAGGUACCGCAUGAAUAAGGACCGGCUAAUUCCGUGCCAGCAG